RNAcentral lists this transfer RNA (74 nucleotides) under Actinomycetota bacterium. RNAcentral's name for it is "tRNA-Gln". It matches the Rfam family "tRNA". From Rfam's summary of the family: Transfer RNA (tRNA) molecules are approximately 80 nucleotides in length. Their secondary structure includes four short double-helical elements and three loops (D, anti-codon, and T loops). Lineage: Bacteria; Bacillati; Actinomycetota. The record is from RNAcentral.
UGGGCCGUGGGGUAACGGUAGCCCGACGGGUUCUGGCCCCGUUAGUCCAGGUUCGAAUCCUGGCGGCCCAGCCA